GGCCAAAUCGAUUUUCUUUAGGAUUUUCAGUGAAUUAAUGAGAGAGUGGUAUGGGCAAAGAGGAACCUGAAAGCCAAGGAGCAGCAGAAGCCUCUGGGGCCACGAUAAAAAUAGGAUAUUUGCCCAGGAACUCAGCAUCAUCAAUAAGUGCCAUAAAGCAUCCCUCCCCUUCAAACAAGGCAAACGUAUUUCAACUGAAAAUGGCACCAUUGGGUGGAAGAUGAGAAAACUGAGGAAAGGAGUGACUUGACGAGGAUGUGCAGUCAGGGGAAGCUGGAGUUUGUGUCUCUGAGGUCCGUGGUCUUACAUGAUGAGUGCCACCCUUGCCAAUUUGCCUUCUUCAUCCUCCUCACCCCCUAAGACUUCUUGAUUGCCCUUGGGGUCUCAGGACAUUCUCUUUUCCACCUCACCGUGAAUGCCCUGGCUCAGGA
RNAcentral lists this long non-coding RNA (431 nucleotides) under Pan troglodytes (chimpanzee). RNAcentral's name for it is "long non-coding RNA NONPTRT017253". The record is from RNAcentral. Lineage: Eukaryota; Metazoa; Chordata; Mammalia; Primates; Hominidae.